GACAUUAGACGAAUCAUCUGGAAAGAUGAAUCAAAGAAGGUAAUAAUCCUGUAGUCGAAAAUGUUGUCUCUCUUGAGUGGAUCCUGAGUACGACGGAGCACGUGAAAUUCCGUCGGAAUCUGGGAGGACCAUCUCCUAAGGCUAAAUACUCUCUAGUGACCGAUAGUGAACCAGUACCGUGAGGGAAAGGUGAAAAGCACCCCGGAAGGGGAGUGAAAUAGAACCUGAAACCGUGUGCUUACAAGUAGUCAGAGCCCGUUAAUGGGUGAUGGCGUGCCUUUUGUAGAAUGAACCGGCGAGUUACGAUUUGAUGCAAGGUUAAGCAGUAAAUGUGGAGCCGUAGCGAAAGCGAGUCUGAAUAGGGCGUUUAGUAUUUGGUCGUAGACCCGAAACCAGGUGAUCUACCCUUGGUCAGGUUGAAGUUCAGGUAACACUGAAUGGAGGACCGAACCGACUUACGUUGAAAAGUGAGCGGAUGAACUGAGGGUAGCGGAGAAAUUCCAAUCGAACCUGGAGAUAGCUGGUUCUCUCCGAAAUAGCUUUAGGGCUAGCCUCAAGUGAUGAUUAUUGGAGGUAGAGCACUGUUUGGACGAGGGGCCCCUCUCGGGUUACCGAAUUCAGACAAACUCCGAAUGCCAAUUAAUUUAACUUGGGAGUCAGAACAUGGGUGAUAAGGUCCGUGUUCGAAAGGGAAACAGCCCAGACCACCAGCUAAGGUCCCAAAAUAUAUGUUAAGUGGAAAAGGAUGUGGCGUUGCCCAGACAACUAGGAUGUUGGCUUAGAAGCAGCCAUCAUUUAAAGAGUGCGUAAUAGCUCACUAGUCGAGUGACACUGCGCCGAAAAUGUACCGGGGCUAAACAUAUUACCGAAGCUGUGGAUUGUCCUUUGGACAAUGGUAGGAGAGCGUUCUAAGGGCGUUGAAGCAUGAUCGUAAGGACAUGUGGAGCGCUUAGAAGUGAGAAUGCCGGUGUGAGUAGCGAAAGACGGGUGAGAAUCCCGUCCACCGAUUGACUAAGGUUUCCAGAGGAAGGCUCGUCCGCUCUGGGUUAGUCGGGUCCUAAGCUGAGGCCGACAGGCGUAGGCGAUGGAUAACAGGUUGAUAUUCCUGUACCACCUAUAAUCGUUUUAAUCGAUGGGGGGACGCAGUAGGAUAGGCGAAGCGUGCGAUUGGAUUGCACGUCUAAGCAGUAAGGCUGAGUAUUAGGCAAAUCCGGUACUCAUUAAGGCUGAGCUGUGAUGGGGAGAAGACAUUGUGUCUUCGAGUCGUUGAUUUCACACUGCCGAGAAAAGCCUCUAGAUAGAAAAUAGGUGCCCGUACCGCAAACCGACACAGGUAGUCAAGAUGAGAAUUCUAAGGUGAGCGAGCGAACUCUCGUUAAGGAACUCGGCAAAAUGACCCCGUAACUUCGGGAGAAGGGGUGCUCUUUAGGGUUAACGCCCAGAAGAGCCGCAGUGAAUAGGCCCAAGCGACUGUUUAUCAAAAACACAGGUCUCUGCUAAACCGUAAGGUGAUGUAUAGGGGCUGACGCCUGCCCGGUGCUGGAAGGUUAAGAGGAGUGGUUAGCUUCUGCGAAGCUACGAAUCGAAGCCCCAGUAAACGGCGGCCGUAACUAUAACGGUCCUAAGGUAGCGAAAUUCCUUGUCGGGUAAGUUCCGACCCGCACGAAAGGCGUAACGAUUUGGGCACUGUCUCAACGAGAGACUCGGUGAAAUCAUAGUACCUGUGAAGAUGCAGGUUACCCGCGACAGGACGGAAAGACCCCGUGGAGCUUUACUGUAGCCUGAUAUUGAAAUUCGGCACAGCUUGUACAGGAUAGGUAGGAGCCUUUGAAACGUGAGCGCUAGCUUACGUGGAGGCGCUGGUGGGAUACUACCCUAGCUGUGUUGGCUUUCUAACCCGCACCACUUAUCGUGGUGGGAGACAGUGUCAGGCGGGCAGUUUGACUGGGGCGGUCGCCUCCUAAAAGGUAACGGAGGCGCUCAAAGGUUCCCUCAGAAUGGUUGGAAAUCAUUCAUAGAGUGUAAAGGCAUAAGGGAGCUUGACUGCGAGACCUACAAGUCGAGCAGGGUCGAAAGACGGACUUAGUGAUCCGGUGGUUCCGCAUGGAAGGGCCAUCGCUCAACGGAUAAAAGCUACCCCGGGGAUAACAGGCUUAUCUCCCCCAAGAGUUCACAUCGACGGGGAGGUUUGGCACCUCGAUGUCGGCUCAUCGCAUCCUGGGGCUGUAGUCGGUCCCAAGGGUUGGGCUGUUCGCCCAUUAAAGCGGUACGCGAGCUGGGUUCAGAACGUCGUGAGACAGUUCGGUCCCUAUCCGUCGUGGGCGUAGGAAAUUUGAGAGGAGCUGUCCUUAGUACGAGAGGACCGGGAUGGACAUACCUCUGGUGUACCAGUUGUCGUGCCAACGGCAUAGCUGGGUAGCUAUGUGUGGACGGGAUAAGUGCUGAAAGCAUCUAAGCAUGAAGCCCCCCUCAAGAUGAGAUUUCCCAACUUCGGUUAUAAGAUCCCUCAAAGAUGAUGAGGUUAAUAGGUUCGAGGUGGAAGCAUGGUGACAUGUGGAGCUGACGAAUACUAAUCGAUCGAAGACUUAAUCAAA
Molecule: ribosomal RNA, 2594 nt
Filed under: Staphylococcus aureus
Lineage: Bacteria; Bacillati; Bacillota; Bacilli; Caryophanales; Staphylococcaceae
Description: partial 23S ribosomal RNA
Rfam family: Bacterial large subunit ribosomal RNA
Source: RNAcentral